This 447-nucleotide ribosomal RNA is filed under the name uncultured bacterium. RNAcentral describes it as "bacterial SSU rRNA". It matches the Rfam family "Bacterial small subunit ribosomal RNA", at positions 28 to 458 of the family's 1533-position model. The record is from RNAcentral.
GAUGAACGCUGGCGGCGUGCUUAACACAUGCAAGUCGAACGGGAAUUACUUUAUUGAAACUUCGGUCGAUUUAAUUUAAUUCUAGUGGCGGACGGGUGAGUAACGCGUGGGUAACCUGCCUUAUACAGGGGGAUAGCAGUCAGAAAUGGCUGCUAAUACCGCAUAAGCGCACAGAGCUGCAUGGCUCAGUGUGAAAAACUCCGGUGGUAUAAGAUGGACCCGCGUUGGAUUAGCUUGUUGGUGGGGUAACGGCCCACCAAGGCGACGAUCCAUAGCCGGCCUGAGAGGGUGAACGGCCACAUUGGGACUGAGACACGGCCCAGACUCCUACGGGAGGCAGCAGUGGGGAAUAUUGCACAAUGGGGGAAACCCUGAUGCAGCGACGCCGCGUGAAGGAAGAAGUAUCUCGGUAUGUAAACUUCUAUCAGCAGGGAAGAUAGUGACGGU